AUUGAACGCUGGCGGCAGGCCUAACACAUGCAAGUCGAGCGGAUGAAGGGAGCUUGCUCCUGGAUUCAGCGUCGGACGGGUGAGUAAUGCCUAGGAAUCUGCCUGGUAGUGGGGGAUAACGUCCGGAAACGGGCGCUAAUACCGCAUACGUCCUGCGGGAGAAAGUGGGGGAUCUUCGGACCUCACGCUAUCAGAUGAGCCUAGGUCGGGUUAGCUAGUUGGUGGGGUAAAGGCCUACCAAGGCGACGAUCCGUAACUGGUCUGAGAGGAUGAUCAGUCACACUGGAACUGAGACACGGUCCAGACUCCUACGGGAGGCAGCAGUGGGGAAUAUUGGACAAUGGGCGAAAGCCUGAUCCAGCCAUGCCGCGUGUGUGAAGAAGGUCUUCGGAUUGUAAAGCACUUUAAGUUGGGGGGAAGGGCAGUAAGUUAAUACCUUGCUGUUUUGACGUUACCAACAGAAUAAGCACCGGCUAACUUCGUG
RNAcentral lists this ribosomal RNA (484 nucleotides) under uncultured bacterium. RNAcentral's name for it is "partial 16S ribosomal RNA". It matches the Rfam family "Bacterial small subunit ribosomal RNA", at positions 30 to 507 of the family's 1533-position model. The record is from RNAcentral.